Molecule: long non-coding RNA, 500 nt
Organism: Pocillopora damicornis (cauliflower coral)
Lineage: Eukaryota; Metazoa; Cnidaria; Anthozoa; Scleractinia; Pocilloporidae
Source: RefSeq, a predicted model, not a curated record
UAGAACACGUUCAGUCCGUAUCUACCCAAAGUUUCCAUUAUCUUUGGAUGGCGAUGCGUCUCUUAUGAAUGUUUCCUGUCUCCGACUGGAAUUAUACGGCUGCUCUGCCCCUGUUGAUGGCUCGUGGGGCGCGUGAGUAGAAUAGAAAGUUGGCGUUGCGAGAUCAAUUUGAAAAUGACUUCGAAGUCUACUCAAUACUACGUAAAAUUUGAUAGAAACUAUUUUAAAAACCCCAAAAAGUUAUACUUUAUGCAUAAGAAAAUUUUCAAUCAUGAUUCUUGUAAAAAAAAUAAAAUUAUAGUUUCCAAAAAAAAUCUUCACGAAAAAAAGAAACAUCUGUGAUAUUAUUUUACGAAAUCACAAAAAAACCAGAGAAAUGUCAAAGGAUACAUCUCGUUCUUCUAUGUCAUUUUUUUUUACAUAACAUUAAUGUCAUUAUAUUUUGUAGGAUCCAUUGUAAUUUAGAAAUUCAUGAUGAAAUAAAAAUGAUGACUGUCUUA